UCCCUGGUAGCUCAGAUGGUAAAGCAUCUGCCUACAAUGCAGGAGACCUGGGUUCAAUCCCUUGGUUGGGAA
This 72-nucleotide transfer RNA is filed under the name Ovis aries (sheep). It matches the Rfam family "tRNA". Rfam says of the family: Transfer RNA (tRNA) molecules are approximately 80 nucleotides in length. Lineage: Eukaryota; Metazoa; Chordata; Mammalia; Artiodactyla; Bovidae. The record is from Rfam by way of RNAcentral.